Long non-coding RNA from Heterocephalus glaber (naked mole-rat), 607 nucleotides. Lineage: Eukaryota; Metazoa; Chordata; Mammalia; Rodentia; Bathyergidae. The record is from Ensembl.
GUUUUGGUUUUCUGCUCCCUUUUCUCUGAAGGCUCCUAGGAAGUCACUGCUUCGGGAAAAUCAGAUCCUGCUGGUGAGAACAGCCAUGCGAACUGUCCUGAGUGGGGGAUAAUGACAUAAAGUUAUAAUGAUGACCACUCAAGCGCAAUAGUGACAACCCAAGACUUGACUAGGAUGUGUGAAGCUUCAAGAUAACUAAACUCACCUCAGGAAGCAGUCAUUUCGUUCUCCUGACUUGGGAGAAGGAAGAUUCUAAGCCCCUCGAAAGCCUUCUCUCCAACUUAACUCCCCACCUAGAGCUGCCUCAACACCUGUUGGAAAUUUUCUCACCACUUCUUGGACAUUCCUUCCAGAGGAUCCAGUUGUCAGUGUUACCACAGAACCCCAACUUAACACACCAGCUCAGAGAUCUGUUCUCAGAAGGGCUGGUCACUAAGGAAAUGACUAUCAGGCCAGGGCUACCUGAGAGAUGCCCUGCUUAUCCUGGCCUCUCAUUCUGCCCAGGAGAACCCCUUACAUCCCAAAUGUUCAUUGAGUGGGAAGAGACUGGUGACAGAAUGCUCACUCUGGUGGAGAUGGGGGAAGAGUGGGGUGAAGACAAAGGGGG